AUGGCUUCAGGGCGUCUGAGUUUCAUUGCGGCCAUCAGUUCGGACACCUGCGUCACUCCGUGUGUUGCAACCAUGGCUAUUUGUGUCACUGCAUGCUCCGUCACCGGCCUCCUGCGCACCGUGACCCCUACCGUACUCCUUCGAGGAGGUUCUCCGGUGCGCGAAGUAUGCAUGUUCUCUGGUGCGCCAAGUAUGCAGGUUCUCCGGUGCGCCAAGUAUUGCCGGCAGCGAUGCCUACUUACGUCGCCAAGGCCGCGUCCUCCUCCUGAGAUAAGAAGAGCGACAAGGAGAUGGAGAGCACGGUCUUUUUUUCGUGGAGCUGGCACUGCUGCAGUACGGCCUAGUCUACUCUAA
RNAcentral lists this ribosomal RNA (354 nucleotides) under Triticum aestivum (bread wheat). RNAcentral's name for it is "partial small subunit ribosomal RNA". The record is from RNAcentral. Lineage: Eukaryota; Viridiplantae; Streptophyta; Magnoliopsida; Poales; Poaceae.